Long non-coding RNA from Hyla sarda, 433 nucleotides. RefSeq lists it as uncharacterized. Lineage: Eukaryota; Metazoa; Chordata; Amphibia; Anura; Hylidae. The transcript is spliced from 3 exons. The record is from RefSeq and is a predicted model, not a curated record.
AUGUUCAGCUAUAUGAUAUUUCAGCUUGUGGGUGGUGCAGCUGUCAAGGAUGGCUUGAGAGAGAAGCUAUCAAGCAGGCUUUCCGAACCACUGUAGCGUGGCAGGAGGCACCAUGGAGGGGUCAUAUGUAAAGAGCUGAAUAAAGGAGACGAUUCUUCAAAUUCAGGGUACAUUGCUGCACGUAUAGAUGUACAGUGAUAAGAUGGGCCAUGGGGAGGACUACUGUGCUGGAACAACAAACCUGCGGAUGGAUAAGCCGUGUGAACUUUGAAGAGUGGUUUUCACAGUGGGGGUCUCCAGCUCGCUUUAUAUCCUCCAAUUUUUUUAGCUGAUCUCAGCAUGGUUAUUCUUUGUUCUUCUUCCAUCCUUUGAUCCAUUCUUACAUGUCACAUGUCGCUGCCUGUGUAAGAUCUGAGCUAUGUACAUUCACUAA